UCGUGUCUUGCAUAAUGUCGGCGGGAGCGACGACCUCCGCCGGUGCGGCACCGCGCGGCUCCCGACGUCGGGAGCCGACCUACUACUAUCAAAGUCUCUCCGCCGUCGUUGACGGUGACGUGCGGUUCGGCGAGGGCUGCGUGGUGCUGCCGCACGCGCGCAUUCGUGUCCCACGCGGCUAUCGGCUUCACGUCGAGCCGUUCUGCCUCUUCGAGGACUUUGCCGAGCUCAUCUGCGACGGUGCCGCUGAUGCCGCCGAUCAGCGACACGUGGGCGAAGCGCCGCCCUCGCCAUCCGCGAGGGCGGCGGUGGCACUGCACAUUGGAAGUCACAACCACUUCCAUUCCUACGCUCGUGUGCACUGCGCUGUCGCGGCCGCCACCUUGGCGUCAUUGUCGUCGGCGUCGGCGGCGGCGGCGGCGGCGGCGGCGUCGACGACGUGGCUGUUGAUGGGCAGCGGCAACGUUUUCCAUGCCUUCGCCUCCGUGCAGAUGACGCUGUCGCAGCCCUUGUCGAGCCUGCGUGGGACACCAGCGCCGCGGUCGCGGCAUUUCUUUGGGGACUACAACGUCGUCACAACGUACAGCAGCGUCUGCCUGCAGCAGGGCGCAUCAGCAGCGGCACCGCUGGCUGACGAGGGCGCAUCUUCGUCUAUCCCCUCCUCGCCCGCGGCGCCGCGCCCGGCAGCAUCAAACACGUUCCAGCACGUCAUCAUCUUCUCCGGUGAGGAGCACACUAAAGGCGCUGACGCAUCCGUUACCAUGGCGACGAGCGCCUUCUGUGUGCCCCGGUUUGGCGCCCGCAGCGUCGCGGAGCUGCCAGUGGUGAUCCAGCGCAUCACCGACGAGGCGACGGCGGACCCACCGGCGACGGCGGAGAUGGUGGGAAGGGCAGCGAUGCUGGAGCGCUAUAUCUCCGACGUGCACCCAGAUCUGCGCUCGCACGAAGAGACGCGCAUCGUCACGGAGGUGGAGCAUGCGUGUCGCUGCUACAUUCACCAGCUCCUCGACGAUGGCGGACUGCAGCCGGUCGAGGCGCCGUGCUGAGACGGCAGUCCAGUGCUGCCAGACGCAAAGAAGAGCAGAAAGAAACGGAGCUCAUGCACGCAGACGACACCGCCGUCAGCGGUGGCACUGUUCGCCGUGCUCCACCGUGCGACGAGGUUGACCCUUGUUCUUGGGUACGCCGAGGAGGCGCAUUGGGCGCGCACUUGCACGUGGCAUCGCCAUCGAUCGGCGGUCGCGCCACGAGAGGCGCCGGCACCGCCCGCUGAUCGUGGUAGUUGUUCCUGCCGUUGCUGCCGUGGUGGAAAGGCGGAAAGGCGCCCACUCUCCACCAGCGCGAAUGACCUUGGCGGCUUCUCAGCCUUUUCGUUCCCGCGAUAAGCUGAAGACUUCAUCACCGUGCCGCGCUGGCCCACGUUGACGAGCGCAACGCUUCAAGCGCGGGAACGAAGGCAACGGAAGGCGUACAUCUCUACGCCUGUACACACAUACCUACAUACUUGUAUCGCCCCGCUGUCCCUCGACGCAC
This 1533-nucleotide unclassified non-coding RNA is filed under the name Leishmania donovani. Its description in RNAcentral is "gene:LdHU3.01.0880(CDS-product:hypothetical_prote in_conserved)". Lineage: Eukaryota; Euglenozoa; Kinetoplastea; Trypanosomatida; Trypanosomatidae. The record is from RNAcentral.